Syzygium oleosum is the source of this 985-nucleotide long non-coding RNA. RefSeq lists it as uncharacterized. The transcript has 5 exons. Lineage: Eukaryota; Viridiplantae; Streptophyta; Magnoliopsida; Myrtales; Myrtaceae. The record is from RefSeq and is a predicted model, not a curated record.
UCAUGUUUCCUCAACAGAGGUAAAUAAGCAGUGACAAUCAUUUUUCUUCUGAGAUUCAUGGCCUGCUUUCAUCACUAUCUUCUUUUGACAAGAAAGUUUUCCAUGACAGGGUUAUGUACUUUCUUAAAUUGCUAGUCUUACAUAAUUGAAGGAGUGGGGAGUUGGUCAUAGAAGCUAACAUGAUGCUUCAGCUAAGACCAAAAUGUAGACCCAAAUGUCAAUAGAAGGCAUAAUAAGAUUCUUCAUCCUUGAAUGGCCAGCGUGAACGAAUAGACUUCUGAAGACUGCAAACAGAUAGCAGCUUGUGAGGCAAGAAUGAAAAUAUCAACAAAGGAACUUCAAAUUCCAUGCCAGAGACCGAUCAAAAUGAAGAAGAUAUAUUUUGUAGAGGACCCAUCAGCAACAGCUGAGGACCAUCUUUUGUGCCAACCUCAAAGAGGCUCGUGGGCCAGCUGGAGUGUCUUGAAGGUGUUUGAUGCCGUUGCAUUCUAAUGUUAUCACUCCUGAACUCGAUGAGGCUCUGCAGAAGGAGAUUCAACCUGCAUUUCAUAAAAUUCAGAGAGCAAAUCCCCAAACAUCACAGGACGGAGAUGUGGGCAGGAGUGAGAUAAGUCACGAGAUGUUAUGGAAAGGCGUUCCAAAGUUCUUUGCCAAUGGUUCUUAUAAUGUGCUCCAUGUUAAUAAUCUUCAUAGGAUUCUUGAGAUAAAGGGACCUCUUCUAAUGUGGUGUAGUAGUCCUCUGCAAGCUUUGGCAUCAUGCUAUUAUUUAGCAAAGGUCAAAUUUCAAAAUGCUUGCAGGAAGACCGCAUGUGCAGGUGGUUCUGUAUGUGAAGUUAAGCACAAAGUCAUGUUUGUCAACAAGACUACCGUUUAGAUGUCGACUUCAAGCUGUGAGAGACUUCUUUCAUGGAAAAAGCGAAUGUCGUGGAAUCAAUAAAUAAUCUGUCAAUUGCAGGCAAGAUUUUCAGUGAAAAGGUUCCCAAAA